GAUGAGGACAUCCUCCACUAUUACCCGUUGGCAAAGACGCAAUUGGCCCAGUUGGCCCAAUUGUAGUCGGACAGCGACCGUGUGAGCCUCAGAAUUAUCCCACCUCGCUUAACUUGGGAGGAGGAAGCCACUUUAAAAGGGAGAGCCACCCUUCCCCCAUUGGACUAGUCUUUUGGGGCGAUUGGGCCUUUCCCUGAGUUGGGUGUGCUUAAUGAACUGUUGGGCUCCGGGCAACCCUAAUUUGUUGGGCCUCGGCCAACCCCACCUGGGCUGGGUGUAUCAUCUGGUAUCAGAGCUAGGGCCCAUUUUAAGAAGGUGGGAAUGAUGAGGACAUCCUCCAGUAUUACCCGUUGGCAAAGACGUAAUUGGCCCAGUUGGCCCAAUUGUAGUCGGACGACGACCGUGUGAGCCUCAAAAUUAUCCCACCUCGCUUAACUUGGGAGGAGGAAGCCACUUUAAAAGGGAGAGCCACCCUUCCCCCAUUGGGCUAGUCUUUUGGGGCGAUUGGGCCUCUCCCUGAGUUGGGUGUGCUUAAUGAACUGUUGGGCUCCGGGCAACCCUAAUUUGUUGGGCCUCGGCCAACCCUACCUGGGCUGGGUGUAUCAGAACUUCUUCGACUUAUAUUUCGGCGGUAUUUGGCUCUGCAUUCCCUUUGGAACGACUUUUGAGCAGAAAACUUACGCUGCGCUCCCUUAGGAACGAC
Molecule: long non-coding RNA, 703 nt
Filed under: Zea mays
Lineage: Eukaryota; Viridiplantae; Streptophyta; Magnoliopsida; Poales; Poaceae
Description: long non-coding RNA (ZMAY_LNC005357)
Source: RNAcentral